This 446-nucleotide ribosomal RNA is filed under the name uncultured bacterium. RNAcentral's name for it is "partial 16S ribosomal RNA". It matches the Rfam family "Bacterial small subunit ribosomal RNA", at positions 338 to 795 of the family's 1533-position model. The record is from RNAcentral.
CCUACGGGUGACAGCAGUCGAGAAUCAUUCACAAUGGGGGAAACCCUGAUGGUGCGACGCCGCGUGGGGGAAUGAAGGUCUUCGGAUUGUAAACCCCUGUCAUGUGGGAGCAAAUUAAAAAGAUAGUACCACAAGAGGAAGAGACGGCUAACUCUGUGCCAGCAACCGCGGUAAUACAGAGGUCUCAAGCGUUGUUCGGAAUCCCUGGGCGGAAAGCGUGCGUAGGCUGUUUCGUAAGUCGUGUGUGAAAGGCGCGGGCUCAACCCGUGGAAGGCACAUGAUACUGCGAGACUAGAGUAAUGGAGGGGGGACCGGAAUUCUCGGUGUAGCAGUGAAAUGCGUAGAUAUCGAGAGGAACACUCGUGGCGAAGGCGGGUUCCUGGACAUUAACUGACGCUGAGGCACGAAGGCCAGGGGAGCGAAAGGGAUUAGAUACCCCGGUAGUC